Molecule: transfer RNA, 74 nt
Filed under: Gemmatimonadota bacterium
Lineage: Bacteria; Pseudomonadati; Gemmatimonadota
Description: Gemmatimonadetes bacterium tRNA-Gln
Rfam family: tRNA
About the family: Transfer RNA (tRNA) molecules are approximately 80 nucleotides in length. Their secondary structure includes four short double-helical elements and three loops (D, anti-codon, and T loops).
Source: RNAcentral
UGCCCCCUCGUCUAAUGGCAAGACAUGCGGCUCUGGACCGUAGUAUCGGGGUUCGAAUCCCNGGGGGGCAGCCA